GAGUUUGAUCAUGGCUCAGAUUGAACGCUGGCGGCAGGCCUAACACAUGCAAGUCGAGCGGAUGACGGGAGCUUGCUCCUCGAUUCAGCGGCGGACGGGUGAGUAAUGCCUAGGAAUCUGCCUGGUAGUGGGGGGACAACGUUUCGAAAGGAACGCUAAUACCGCAUACGUCCUACGGGAGAAAGCAGGGGACCUUCGGGCCUUGCGCUAUCAGAUGAGCCUAGGUCGGAUUAGCUAGUAGGUGGGGUAAUGGCCCACCUAGGCGACGAUCCGUAACUGGUCUGAGAGGAUGAUCAGUCACACUGGAACUGAGACACGGUCCAGACUCCUACGGGAGGCAGCAGUGGGGAAUAUUGGACAAUGGGCGAAAGCCUGAUCCAGCCAUGCCGCGUGUGUGAAGAAGGUCUUCGGAUUGUAAAGCACUUUAAGUUGGGAGGAAGGGCAGUAAGUUAAUACCUUGCUGUUUUGACGUUACCAACAGAAUAAGCACCGGCUAACUUCGUGCCAGCCGCCGC
This 515-nucleotide ribosomal RNA is filed under the name uncultured Gammaproteobacteria bacterium. RNAcentral describes it as "bacterial SSU rRNA". It matches the Rfam family "Bacterial small subunit ribosomal RNA", at positions 9 to 518 of the family's 1533-position model. Lineage: Bacteria; Pseudomonadati; Pseudomonadota; Gammaproteobacteria. The record is from RNAcentral.